Molecule: ribosomal RNA, 617 nt
Filed under: uncultured Legionella sp.
Lineage: Bacteria; Pseudomonadati; Pseudomonadota; Gammaproteobacteria; Legionellales; Legionellaceae
Description: bacterial SSU rRNA
Rfam family: Bacterial small subunit ribosomal RNA
Source: RNAcentral
UAGCUAGUUGGUGGGGUAAAGGCUCACCCAAGGCGACGAUCGGUAGCUGGUCUGAGAGGAUGAACAGCCACACUGGGANUGAGACACGGCCCAGACUCCUACGGGAGGCAGCAGUGGGGAAUAUUGGACAAUGGGGGCAACCCUGAUCCAGCAAUGCCGCGUGUGUGAAGAAGGCCUGAGGGUUGUAAAGCACUUUCAGUGGGGAGGAGGUCGUAUAGGUUAGGAGCUAGUAUGAUGGACGUUACCCACAGAAGAAGCACCGGCUAACUCCGUGCCAGCAGCCGCGGUAAUACGGAGGGUGCGAGCGUUAAUCGGAAUUACUGGGCGUAAAGGGUGCGUAGGUGGUUAAUUAAGUUAGAUGUAAAAACCCUGGGCUUAACCUGGGACUGAGAUUUAAUACUGAUUAACUGGAGUAUUGGAGAGGGUAGUGGAAUUUCCGGUGUAGCGGUGAAAUGCGUAGAGAUCGGAAGGAACACCAGUGGCGAAGGCGGCUACCUGGCCAGAUACUGACACUGAAGCACGAAAGCGUGGGGAGCAAACAGGAUUAGAUACCCUGGUAGUCCACGCUGUAAGCGAUGUCAACUAGCCGUUGGUCAUAUNAAGAUGAUAAGUGGCGC